Non-coding RNA from Schizosaccharomyces pombe (fission yeast), 1404 nucleotides. NCBI's taxonomy places the organism in Eukaryota, Fungi, Ascomycota, Schizosaccharomycetes, Schizosaccharomycetales, Schizosaccharomycetaceae. The record is from the annotation of a GenBank genome assembly.
UCAUUUAUUCCAUUCCAUUCCUCCUCAUUUUCCUGUUCUAAACCUUUUCCAAACCCAAAUACGUUAUCAGUAGCUUGCUCAUCUUCGAUGCUACCAGCUUCACUAGCAGAAUCUUCUUGGUAAUGUUCCAUUCUAGAAAUUCUUUGGUCCUCUAAUUCACGCAAACGAUCAGCUUCAAUUUGAGCAAGCUCCUCUUCGGUCUUAGUACGCUCAGUAGGAUGCGCGCGUUUGUCGAAAACCAUUUCACGGACAAAUGAAUCAUAACGUGCAUCUCCGUCUGAAAUUAUUGGUCGUUGUGUUUUUAUGCCGGACUUCCUAGAUGCUUUUUUAUAAUCCGACAAAAAGGAUUGCAAAUCCUCCAUCUGUUCGUCAAGUUUUUCUCUUUCGUCCUCAUAUCUUUCUUUCUCUGCUUGACGUUCAGCUUUGUAAUGCUUGGACUUGGCAAUAAUUUCCGACAUCACUUCACGUUUAGAUUUAUGUGCACCUUCACCUUCUUUCUCAUUUUCGGCAUCAGAAUCCUCAAAUCCGCCAAAAUGCAUGCGACGAACUACUUCAUCGUUUAACUCCUCUCCUUCAUCAAGUCCAAAUCCAGGUUCUUCAAAGGAAUCUAUAUCAGACAAAGGCCUAUUACCAUGAGUCAAAACAUCUUCUGCAUCUAGAUUGUAAAGCUCUCUUUUGCUACGACGCUGUUGUUCACGACUAAAUCGUUCUAACAUUUUCUCUUCAACUGAUAAAUGUGGAUUGUUCUCACCAAAUCGUCGAUCGAUUAUAGCUCCAGAACGAUUCCUCUUUUUCAAUUCAGCCCCAAUUGUUCUCCUUCGAAGUUCCUCUCCAACACCCCGACUAACUCCGGGUUUACCCUCAGUUCCCUUUACACGUCUACCACCAACAUCAAAUUUCCGUUUUGUAAACUGCCUGUCAAAUAAAUUAAACUUAAAAAUAAUUAGCUAUUGCUCUCAUAAGCUGGAAAGACAAAAACAUACAUCUGAUUGAAUUUUUUGAACUUUAGCCUGUCGGUCUUCAUGGGACUCAGUACUUCUAGUUCUCGACUUUUUAUUAUUUGGACGAGUACCAAGGUUUGCUUGGCGAAUACUCGAUUUCAAAUUUUUUAAUUGUGAUCCAUUUUUACCCAUAACAGCAAUUUGAUGAAGAAAUUACCUUCUGGAAGAAAAUGUUUGGUAUAUGAUAAAAAGUUAAUAUUGUGAGUACUCACACUAAAAUACUGUAAACUGUGCAUUAUUAUAUUUUGGGGCAAAGGAUAAAUUUUAUAAUUAUAUAAAGGUGGUUCACGAACUGUAAACAAAUCAACCACCUAGUGUCCUGCAACGUUCCAGAUCAGUAAUAUUAUAUUCAAUUUUAAAAUAAGUAUUUUGGUAAAUUGUUAAAGUGCUUCUUGAAAUCAUA